UGGGGAAUAUUGCACAAUGGGCGAAAGCCUGAUGCAGCAACGCCGCGUGAGUGAUGAAGGUCUUCGGAUUGUAAAGCUCUGUCUUUUGGGACGAUAAUGACGGUACCAAAGGAGGAAGCCACGGCUAACUACGUGCCAGCAGCCGCGGUAAUACGUAGGUGGCGAGCGUUGUCCGGAUUUACUGGGCGUAAAGGGUGCGUAGGCGGAUGUUUAAGUGAGAUGUGAAAUACCCGGGCUUAACUUGGGUGCUGCAUUUCAAACUGGAUAUCUAGAGUGCAGGAGAGGAGAAUGGAAUUCCUAGUGUAGCGGUGAAAUGCGUAGAGAUUAGGAAGAACACCAGUGGCGAAGGCGAUUCUCUGGACUGUAACUGACGCUGAGGCACGAAAGCGUGGGUAGCAAACAGGAUUAGAUACCCUGGUAGUCCACGCCGUAAAACGAUGAGUACUAGGUGUAGGAGGUAUCGA
This 464-nucleotide ribosomal RNA is filed under the name uncultured bacterium. Its description in RNAcentral is "partial 16S ribosomal RNA". It matches the Rfam family "Bacterial small subunit ribosomal RNA", at positions 355 to 835 of the family's 1533-position model. The record is from RNAcentral.